AACGAACGCUGGCGGCAGGCUUAACACAUGCAAGUCGAGCGCCCCGCAAGGGGAUCGGCAGACGGGUGAGUAACGCGUGGGAACGUACCCUUAUCUUCGGGAUACCUCCGGGAAACUGGAAUUAAUACCGAAUUUGCCCUUUUGGGGAAAGGGUUAUCGGGUAAGGAUCGGCCCGCGUUGGAUUAGCUGGUUGGUGGGGUAAAGGCCUACCAAGGCGACGAUCCAUAGCUGGUCUGAGAGGAUGAUCAGCCACAUUGGGACUGAGACACGGCCCCAACUCCUACGGGAGGCAGCAGUGGGGAAUAUUGGACAAUGGGCGCAAGCCUGAUCCAGCCAUGCCGCGUGAGUGAUGAAGGCCUUAGGGUUGUAAAGCUCUUUCACAGGAGAAGAUAAUGACGGUAUCCGGAGAAGAAGCCCCGGCUAACUUCGUG
RNAcentral lists this ribosomal RNA (431 nucleotides) under uncultured bacterium. RNAcentral's name for it is "partial 16S ribosomal RNA". It matches the Rfam family "Bacterial small subunit ribosomal RNA", at positions 29 to 507 of the family's 1533-position model. The record is from RNAcentral.